CGUUCGGGUAGACCAACGAGAGCUUGCUCUCGGGUGACGAGUGGCGCCCCCUUAAGGGGGGUCUGGGAAACUGCCUGAUGGAGGGGGAUAACUACUGGAAACGGUAGCUAAUACCGCAUAACGUCGCAAGACCAAAGAGGGGGACCUUCGGGCCUCUUGCCAUCAGAUGUGCCCAGAUAGGAUUAGCUAGUAGGUGGGGUAACGGCUCACCUAGACGACGAUCCCUAGCUAGACUGAGAGGAUGACCAGCCACACUGUAACUGAGACACGGUCCAUACUCCUACGGGAGGCAGCAGUGUGGAAUAUUGCACAAUAGGCGCAAGCCUGAUGCACCCCUGCCGCGUGUAUGAAGAAGGCCUUCUGGUUGUAAAGUACUUUCAGCGGGGAGGAAGGUGUUAUGAUUAAUAACCACUGCAAUUGACGUUACCCGCAGAAGAAGCACCGGCUAACUCCGUGCCAGCAGCCACGCUAAUACGGAGGGUGCAAGCGUUAAUCGCAAUUACUGGGCGUAAAGCGCACGCAGGCGGUCUAUCAAGUCGGAUGUGAAAUCCCCGGGCUCAACCUGGGAACUGCGUUCGAAACUGGCAGGCUGGAGUCUUGUAGAGGGGGGUAGAAUUCCAGGUGUACGGUGAAAUGCGUACAGAUCUGGAGCAAUACCGGUGGCGAAGCGGCCCCCUGUACAAAGACUGACGCUAAGUGCGAAACGUGGGGAGCAACAGGAUUAGAUACCCUGGUAGUCCACGCCGUAAACAAUGUCGAUUUGGAGAUUGUGCCUUGAGAGUGACUUCGGAGCUAAGCGU
This 800-nucleotide ribosomal RNA is filed under the name uncultured Enterobacter sp. RNAcentral's name for it is "bacterial SSU rRNA". It matches the Rfam family "Bacterial small subunit ribosomal RNA", at positions 56 to 860 of the family's 1533-position model. The record is from RNAcentral. Lineage: Bacteria; Pseudomonadati; Pseudomonadota; Gammaproteobacteria; Enterobacterales; Enterobacteriaceae.